UAUUCCUACUUUUUCUCUGAGAGACCGACCGAUGACCUCCGCUAAGGCCUAGGCCUAGCUCUCUUUGGCGAAGUAGAAGCUCCUGUGUUCUGUGUAUAUCAGAGAGUCCAUAGUACCAGGUAACAAUUAAGAUUCCAUGGGUAAAUUUGAAGUGGAUCGUUUUGUGAAUGCACCAGAUCCUGAUUUGGUCUGCUGUGUUUGCUACUGUGUACUUGAUGACGCUCUAGAGAGCCCAUGCCAGCAUGUCUAUUGUAAAGUUUGCAUUUAUACAUGGCUCGACAAUCGUAAAAGCUGUCCAAACUGCCGUCGCCGGUUACGCUCAACGCGUCUAAAGCCUGUUCUUCCAAUUGUACGCAACAUGAUAAAUAGACUGCAGAUUCGCUGUGAAAAUGUAGAGAACGGUUGCACGCAUGUCAUGCAACUGGAGGCUUAUAACAGUCAUGUAGAGAUGUGCGAUUAUAGAUUCGUCAAUUGCACAAACAAUGAAUGUAAUGAAAAAGUGUUGUACAAGAACUUAGAAGAACAUAAGCAUCAGUGUUUGCACCGAUUAACAAAAUGCGAAAAAGGGUGUGACCUACUACUACCCCUGGGCAAGCUCACUGGACACAAUUGUUUGUCAGAACUAAAGGAGAAAUUACAAAAAGUCGAAGGCAAUUUGCAGAUUGUAACAUUAAAAAUGACAGAUGUUGAGAAACGAAUACAAGUAUUAGAACGUCACCACCAAAGAAGAAGGUCAGAUAGGUCACCUUCAUUUCACUACCAAAGAAGAAGAUCAGAUAGGUCACCUUCAUUAGUAUCUUCCAUUUCAUCGUUGUCAAGGAGACGAAGCCCUCCGUUACCUUGGUACUCACCAAGUGGUCCUAAUCAAGGCAGAUUUCAAAAUAGGUACAAUCAGAGAUCUAGACAGAGUAACCAAAGUCGUGAUCAAACCCAGAAUGCAGACAGACCUAGAGACCGAAAUAGAUCUAGAAGUCCAUCAAGUAGUCCUUUUAUCAGCAGAACAUACAUAGACUUGAAUAACCGUACACCCAGGAGAUCAAGGAGUAGAAGCUGGUCACUCCUUCGAAGUAGUACCUCAAGAAGUGUGUCUCCUAUAAGAGACGGAAGUUUAAUUAGUGAUUCUUCAGACAAUCAAUCAGAUUCAUCUACAUGGCUUUCUUCAAUUAUUCAAGGGUUCAAUACAAGUAGUGCAGCUGUCAAUUCUAGCGAUGAUGAAUCAUUCUAUUCAGAGAUGAACCGGUCUUUUAGCAGUGGAUCUGUAACCACUGAUUUAGUGUCUGGUACUGGUAGUCCGACACAAAAUAAUGAAAGAGGUUUAUUGUUAGAAGAAGAUAUUGAGAUCACUACUGCUGUUGUUGGUACAGGAGAUCAAGAGGACAAUGCUUUCUCACCUACUCCAGCUGCCAACGUCCAACAACCAGCUAAUGAUGCAAUGAAUACAUCAAAUGUGAUUGAACAAUCAGUAGAAUCAGAAAAUCAAGAGGAAAUGAAUGUUGUCAAUGUGCGUCGAUCAUCACGGUUGGCAGCUAGAAGAGAAGAUGCCAUGAAGUCUGGAACUCAAGAAAUGACAGAUAGAGAUGAAGGUAGUAGCUCUAUGCAACAUUCUACAUCUUUUUCAGCUGUACCAAUCCUUUCAAGAAUCACCAUUGAAGAGCUUAUGAGUGAAGGGACAGAGUCAAGCAAUGAAUCCAGCUGGAGACCAGAAAGUGACGUUACUACAUCUGACUUCAGUGUCUUCGAUGGCGAGGAUGAUGAAAAUGAUUCAUGUAACAGCAGCAAUUAUUUUUCAAGUUGUGAACAGGAGGAACCACAUUGGACAUCACUAUUGCAAAAUUGUAACUCAAACUCCAGUGAUACGGAUGAUACAUGGUCUUUAGGGACAGCAUAGUAUCAGUAUGUCAAACUCUUGUCAACAGUUUAGUAACAGGUACGAUUUCCUAAAAUUAUAUGAAGAGGUAAAUAAUAAGAGGCAUUGAGAAAAGAGAAGAUGCAGUGUGUAAAGAGAGAGAGUUAGUGAGUGGAAGAGAAAAGAGAAGAUGCAGUGUGUAAAGAGAUGGAGUUAGUGAGUGGAAGAGAAAAGAGAAGAUGCAGUGUGUAAAGAGAUGGAGUUAGUGAGUGGAAGAGAAAAGAGAAGACGCAGUGUGUAAAGAAAUGGAGUUAGUGAGUGGAAGAGAAAAGAGAAGAUGCAGUGUGUAAAGAGAUGGAGUUAGUGAGUGGAAGAGAAAAGAGAAGAUGCAGUGUGUAAAGAGAUGGAGUUAGUGAGUGGAAGAG
RNAcentral lists this unclassified non-coding RNA (2271 nucleotides) under Anneissia japonica. RNAcentral's name for it is "dentin sialophosphoprotein-like, transcript variant X2". The record is from RNAcentral. Lineage: Eukaryota; Metazoa; Echinodermata; Crinoidea; Comatulida; Comatulidae.